Molecule: long non-coding RNA, 765 nt
Organism: Salvelinus fontinalis (brook trout)
Lineage: Eukaryota; Metazoa; Chordata; Actinopteri; Salmoniformes; Salmonidae
Exons: 3
Source: RefSeq, a predicted model, not a curated record
UCUUCUGUUUGCGUUGGAAGCCGUAGAGGCAGCGGGGUCAGUGGUAGGGUUGGUUGCCACUGUGCUGAUGGCUGCAAGUGAUGAGGUUGGAGCUCUGGCUGAAGGCUUUGCCACACACCUGGCACACAUUGGGCUUCUCACCUGGCAUAGGAAAGCAGAGUUGCAGCAAUGGAUUGUGCUUCAACUGAUGUCCCUUCACAUACCAAUAGUCAAAGCGUCUGCAAAAAAAAACAAUGUGUUGCCAAAUGUCCUACGGAAUCAGGCCAAAACAUAUCAGGCCAAAACGUAUCAGGCCAAAACGUAUCAGGCCAAAACGUAUCAGGCAAUGUGAGCGGAAACAUUUCCAUUGGCAACCAGGGCAAUACCACCGGUCAUACUGCUUAACAAACAACUCCCAGAAAAGCUGUCGCACCCAGCAUCACCAUAGCCAACAUAACAGGUGGCAAAGUGGGUCUCUACUACAAGGCAGAGAAGAUGGCUCUCUGUGACCUCAUCGAGUGGAGUCAACUCAGGAAGGGCCACUCCAUUCUCAUCCUGGAAAACACCUUUAAGAAGACCCCUCUUCCUCCUCUAUGUCACUGGCUUCCAAGUAGAAAGUGACAAUACACACAGAUUAAACUACAUACACAUUAUUGAUAAAAAAUAAAGACAGAAUAUAUCCCAGAUAGGUGAAAAAGUGCUACAAGAUAUACUUUGAUUGUAUGGUUGAAUUCAGCAAUGUAAUCAAUGUAGGUUUUUGAUAAAUAAAUGUUACCAAACUGAGAA